Molecule: ribosomal RNA, 2467 nt
Filed under: Euastacus setosus
Lineage: Eukaryota; Metazoa; Arthropoda; Malacostraca; Decapoda; Parastacidae
Description: eukaryotic LSU rRNA
Rfam family: Eukaryotic large subunit ribosomal RNA
Source: RNAcentral
GCAGCGCAUACCUCGUGUCGUUAACCCGGCACGAGGGGUGUUGCGUUUCGGAGGGUCCAGCACGCGCCGUGCCAUACCGUCUAAGUUAAGCUUGAAAUUUGCCACUAUCCACGGAGGGUGUGAGGCCCGUGUGGCGGCGCCCGCGAGGGUCUUCAUGGCACGGUCGGAAAGGGCCUCUCCGUAGAGUCGGGUUGCUUAAUAGUGCAGCCCAAAGCAGGUGGUAAACUCCAUCUAAGGCUAAAUAUGACCACGAGACCGAUAGCGAACAAGUACCGUGAGGGAAAGUUGAAAAGAACUUUGAAGAGAGAGUUCAAGAGUACGUGAAACCGUUAACAGCCAAACGGAUGGAACCGCGAAGGUCGAACCGAGGGGAUUCAGCUCGUCGGCUGUCAGGAGGGUGCGAGCGUUCGUUGAGUCGUAGCGACCCGAGGAAACUCGGGCGUGCUCGCACCCACGCUGGCGUCGGCGGGCGCAUUUUCCCUCGUAGUAGGGCGCCGCGACCCGUUGCUGGGAACGUCAAUGGCUCCUAAGGCGUAUUGGUACCCUACCUUCGUCGAUAAGCCUUCUACCAUGCUAAUCCACCUUGGGUUCUGGCGGUGUAGGCGUCGUCGGUUUCGGCGCGAGGUAGGCGAAACUGCCGUUGGUCCUGGCUGUUCCUGCAACGGUCGUAGAGACGAGCUACUACUGUCCCCUUUACCGGGGAGGUGGUUGUUGUUGCUCUCGCGGCGUGCAAAAAGAUCGGUGAUCCAUCCGACCCGUCUUGAAACACGGACCAAGGAGUCUAACAUGUGUGCGAGUCAUUGGGCAGACUAAACCCAAAGGCGUAAUGAAAGUGAAUGAUCUUUAGUACGGCGUGCGUGUCGGUCAAUGACGCGGGCGUCGGAAAUAAAAAAGAGCAGGGCCGAUCCACCGCCUACCCCUCCUCCUUAGGCAAUGGCAAGUGAGUUGUUUUCCCUGUCACGGGCCGACGGGGGCUGGGGAGAGCGUAGUAGGCGCAGGCCCGGGACUUGCCGCCCAGAUGCCGUGCGAGGACCAUAGCCCUAAAGGGCUAUGGCACGUGCGAUGCGUCGGCAGCAAGUACCACGAGCAGUCAUGUUGGUACCCGAAAGAUGGUGAACUAUGCCUGGCCAGGAUGAAGCCAGAGGAAACUCUGGUGGAGGUCCGCAGCGAUUCUGACGUGCAAAUCGAUCGUCUGAGCUGGGUAUAGGGGCGAAAGACUAAUCGAAUCAUCUAGUAGCUGGUUCCCUCUGAAGUUUCCCUCAGGAUAGCUGGUACUCGCUAGGAAGAGUUUCUUCCUGUAAAGCGAAUGAUUAGAGGUCUUGGGGACGAAACGUCCUCAACCUAUUCUCAAACUUUAAAUGGAUGAGAUGCCGAGCUUGCUUGAAUGCUGAAGCUUCGGCGGUUAAUACGAGUAUCUAGUGGGCCAUUUUUUGGUAAGCAGAACUGGCGCUGUGGGAUGAACCAAACGUCGAGGUAAGGGGCCUAAAUGAAUGCUCAUUCAGAUCCCAUCGAAAGGUGUUGGUUGCUAUAGACAGCAGGACGGUGGCCAUGGAAGUUGGAAUCCGCUAAGGAGUGUGUAACAACUCACCUGCCGAAGCAACUAGCCCUUAAAAUGGUAUGGCGCUGAAGCAUUCUCCCGAUACUCGACCGCCGGGUGCACUAGCGGCCACGUCCCAGUGGCGUGGUCUCGAAGUCCCGGUGAGUAAGAGGGUCGCAGUGGUGAGCGCUGAAGGGAUCCGGCGUGAGCCGGCCUGGAGCUUCCACUGGUGCAGAUCUUGGUGGUAGUAGCAAAUACUCGAGAGAGACUCCCUUGAAGACCGAUGUGGAGAAGGGUUCCAUGUGAACAUCAGUUGGACAUGGGUUAGUCGCUCCUAAGCCCAAGGCUAAGGCCUGAUCCUACGCCAGCGGCGACUGCAUUGUUAGCCAAAGGAGGAGGAGCAGCAGCACCAGCACGACGAGAGAAAUCUCAUCAUCCGCUGUUUGUUGUUGCCCGGGAUUUGUGGCGAAAGGGAAUACGGUACUUAUUCCGUAACCUGGUGUCGGAUAAAAAGAAAGCAGGCAGGCUCUAGCGGAACAGCAAGCGAGCUCCUCCCGAAAGGGAAUCUCGCUAUGGCUGCUGAUGCUGAUGCUGCUGCCCUGCAUUGAGGACCCCGGUGACGGGAACCAGCUCGCGUCCAUCGGCGGUGGUCCGGGAAAGAGUUUUCUUUUCUGUUUAAGGCGCCGUGACCCUAGAAAUCACCCGCAGGGAGAAAGGGAAUUGGUAACACGGUUAGCCGUAGAGCGCCGCGGGUCUUGCGGCGUCCCGCGUGCCACCGCCGGUCCGUGAAAACGCGAGGGAGGUAACUCUGGCUGUAUCUCUGGUCUUAUUGGGUUUCGGGAUAUCCCUGGCCAAACAAAGAGACAAGAAAGCCAAAUUUCGCACCAGUGCGUACCCAUAUCCGCAGCAGGUCUCCAAGGUGAGCAGCCU